This 459-nucleotide ribosomal RNA is filed under the name uncultured bacterium. RNAcentral describes it as "bacterial SSU rRNA". It matches the Rfam family "Bacterial small subunit ribosomal RNA", at positions 342 to 793 of the family's 1533-position model. The record is from RNAcentral.
GGGGAGGCAGCAGUAGGGAAUCUUCCACAAUGGGCGCAAGCCUGAUGGAGCAACACCGCGUGAGUGAAGAAGGGUUUCGGCUCGUAAAGCUCUGUUGUUAAAGAAGAACACGUAUGAGAGUAACUGUUCAUACGUUGACGGUAUUUAACCAGAAAGUCACGGCUAACUACGUGCCAGCAGCCGCGGUAAUACGUAGGUGGCAAGCGUUAUCCGGAUUUAUUGGGCGUAAAGAGAGUGCAGGCGGUUUUCUAAGUCUGAUGUGAAAGCCUUCGGCUUAACCGGAGAAGUGCAUCGGAAACUGGAUAACUUGAGUGCAGAAGAGGGUAGUGGAACUCCAUGUGUAGCGGUGGAAUGCGUAGAUAUAUGGAAGAACACCAGUGGCGAAGGCGGCUACCUGGUCUGCAACUGACGCUGAGACUCGAAAGCAUGGGUAGCGAACAGGAUUAGAUACCCUGGUAG